Molecule: non-coding RNA, 76 nt
Organism: Myotis lucifugus (little brown bat)
Lineage: Eukaryota; Metazoa; Chordata; Mammalia; Chiroptera; Vespertilionidae
Source: Rfam
GAGACACCCCUAUGAGGCAGGACUUGCUUCAGUGGGGCUUUGGUGCUCACUGAGUCUGCCCCUCGAGUGUGUUGCU